AUACCCUGGUACUCGACGCUUUGUUGGAACCACACCAAAUCCAUCCCGAACUUGGUUGUGAAAAAGCAAAGAAGACAUACAAACUUUGUGGGGGACUACAUGGAAAGUAUAUCUUAGCGCCAGGGUU
Molecule: ribosomal RNA, 127 nt
Filed under: Koshicola spirodelophila
Lineage: Eukaryota; Viridiplantae; Chlorophyta; Chlorophyceae; Chaetopeltidales; Chaetopeltidaceae
Source: RNAcentral